RNAcentral lists this transfer RNA (74 nucleotides) under Triticum aestivum (bread wheat). It matches the Rfam family "tRNA". From Rfam's summary of the family: Transfer RNA (tRNA) molecules are approximately 80 nucleotides in length. Their secondary structure includes four short double-helical elements and three loops (D, anti-codon, and T loops). Lineage: Eukaryota; Viridiplantae; Streptophyta; Magnoliopsida; Poales; Poaceae. The record is from Rfam by way of RNAcentral.
UCCAUUGUCGUCCAGCCAGGUUAGGAUACCUGGCUUUCACCCAGGCGACCCGGGUUCAAAUCUCGGCAAUUGAG